GAUGAAGAACGUAGCGAAAUGCGAUACGUAAUGUGAAUUGCAGAAUUCAGUGAAUCAUCGAAUCUUUGAACGCAUAUUGCGCUCUCUGGUAUUCCGGAGAGCAUGCUUGUUUGAGUAUCAGUAAACACCUCAACUUCUAUAUCUUUUUUGAAAUGGGAGUUGGACUUGAGUGAUCCCAACGCUUUUCCUCACCGAAAAGUGGCGGGUUACUUGAAAUGCAGGUGCAGCUGGACUUUUCUCUGAGCUAUAAGCAUAUCUAUUUAGUCUGCCUAAAAAACAGAUUAUUACCUUUGCUGCAGCUAACAUAAAGGAGAUUAGUUCUUGUGCUGACUGAUGCAGGAUUCACAAAGACAGGCUUCGGCCGACUUUGUAAACUCGAUCUCAAAUCAAGUAAGACUACCCGCUGAACUUAAGCAUAUCAAUAAGGGGAGGA
This 433-nucleotide unclassified non-coding RNA is filed under the name soil metagenome. RNAcentral describes it as "partial contains 5.8S ribosomal RNA, internal transcribed spacer 2, and large subunit ribosomal RNA". The stretch from base 1 to 120 matches the Rfam family "5.8S ribosomal RNA", at positions 35 to 154 of the family's 154-position model. The record is from RNAcentral.